RNAcentral lists this non-coding RNA (200 nucleotides) under Clostridium perfringens. RNAcentral also lists the same sequence under 1 other name. Lineage: Bacteria; Bacillati; Bacillota; Clostridia; Eubacteriales; Clostridiaceae. The record is from RNAcentral.
AUUAAAUAUUUAGAAAUAGGUUAAAUAGUUACAUUUGUAACUAUAUAUUAAAAGGGAAGUUGGGUUUAAAUCCCACGCGGUCCCGCCGCUGUAAUAGAGGAGCUUUUUGUACUUUAAGCCACUGGAAUAUAAUAUUUUGGGAAGGCCACAAAAAGUGAUGAUACUUGAGCCAGAAGACCUGCCUAUUUUUAAAACAUCAA